This 105-nucleotide ribosomal RNA is filed under the name Escherichia coli. The record is from RNAcentral. Lineage: Bacteria; Pseudomonadati; Pseudomonadota; Gammaproteobacteria; Enterobacterales; Enterobacteriaceae.
UAGCGCGGUGGUCCCACCUGACCCCAUGCCGAACUCAGAAGUGAAACGCCGUAGCGCCGAUGGUAGUGUGGGGUUUCCCCAUGCGAGAGUAGGGAACUGCCAGGU